CAGUCGCCGCGGUAAUACGAAGGGUGCAAGCGUUACUCGGAAUUACUGGGCGUAAAGCGCGCGUAGGUGGUUUGUUAAGUUGGAUGUGAAAUCCCCGGGCUCAACCUGGGAACUGCAUCCAAAACUGGCAGGCUAGAGUAGGGCAGAGGGUGGUGGAAUUUCCUGUGUAGCGGUGAAAUGCGUAGAUAUAGGAAGGAACACCAGUGGCGAAGGCGACCACCUGGGCUCAUACUGACACUGAGGUGCGAAAGCGUGGGGAGCAAACAGGAUUAGAUACCCGAGUAGUCCCUGUCUCUUAUAC
This 301-nucleotide ribosomal RNA is filed under the name uncultured bacterium. RNAcentral's name for it is "partial 16S ribosomal RNA". It matches the Rfam family "Bacterial small subunit ribosomal RNA", at positions 509 to 807 of the family's 1533-position model. The record is from RNAcentral.